UACAGAGGUGGCAAGCGUUGUUCGGAAUUACUGGGCGUAAAGGGCGCGUAGGCGGCCAUCUAAGUCAGACGUGAAAUCCCCCGGCUUAACCUGGGAACUGCGUCUGAUACUGGAAGGCUUGAGUAUGGGAGAGGGAUGUAGAAUUCCAGGUGUAGCGGUGAAAUGCGUAGAUAUCCGGAGGAACACCGGUGGCGAAGGCGGCUUCCUGGACCGACACUGACGCUGAGGCGCGAAAGCUAGGGGAGCAAACGGG
Molecule: ribosomal RNA, 253 nt
Filed under: uncultured bacterium
Lineage: Bacteria
Description: partial 16S ribosomal RNA
Rfam family: Bacterial small subunit ribosomal RNA
Source: RNAcentral